GAACGCACCUUGCGCCCUUUGGCUAUUCCGAAGGGCAUGCCUGUUUGAGUAUCAUGAACACCUCAACUCUCAUGGCUUGCCAUGAUGAGCUUGGACUUUGGGGGUCUUGCCGGCCUGCGGUCGGCUCCUCUCAAAUGAAUCAGCUUUCCAGUGUCUGGUGGCAUCACAGGUGUGAUAAAUAUCUACGCUUGUGGUUCUCCACCAUGUAACCUUCAGUGAUGGAGGUUCGCUGGAGCUCAUAAAUGUCUCUCCUCAGUGAAGACAGCUUUUUGAACGUUUGAUCUCAAAUCAGGUAGGACUACCCGCUGAACUUAAG
This 316-nucleotide unclassified non-coding RNA is filed under the name uncultured Thelephoraceae. RNAcentral describes it as "sequence contains 5.8S rRNA gene". The record is from RNAcentral. Lineage: Eukaryota; Fungi; Basidiomycota; Agaricomycetes; Thelephorales; Thelephoraceae.